GACGAACGCUGGCGGCGUGCUUAACACAUGCAAGUCGAACGGUGAAGCGCCUUCCUUUUUGGUGGGUGUGGAUGAGUGGCGAACGGGUGAGUAACACGUGAGUAACCUGCCCCCUUCUUCUGGAUAACCGCAUGAAAGUGUGGCUAAUACGGGAUAUUCUGGGUCUGUCGCAUGAUGGGUCUGGGAAAGAUAUUGUUUCGGUGGGGGAGGGGCUCGCGGCCUAUCAGCUUGUUGGGGGGGUGAUGGCCUACCAAGGCGGUGACGGGUAGCCGGCCUGAGAGGGUGGACGGUCACACUGGGACUGAGACACGGCCCAGACUCCUACGGGAGGCAGCAGUGGGGAAUAUUGCACAAUGGGCGCAAGCCUGAUGCAGCGACGCCGCGUGAGGGAUGGAGGCCUUCGGGUUGUGAACCUCUUUCGCCAGUGAAGCAGGCCUGCCUCGUUUGUGGGUGGGUUGACGGUAGCUGGAUAAGAAGCGCCGGCUAACUACGUG
This 494-nucleotide ribosomal RNA is filed under the name uncultured bacterium. Its description in RNAcentral is "partial 16S ribosomal RNA". It matches the Rfam family "Bacterial small subunit ribosomal RNA", at positions 28 to 507 of the family's 1533-position model. The record is from RNAcentral.